Molecule: ribosomal RNA, 464 nt
Filed under: uncultured bacterium
Lineage: Bacteria
Description: partial 16S ribosomal RNA
Rfam family: Bacterial small subunit ribosomal RNA
Source: RNAcentral
GACGAACGCUGGCGGCGUGCUUAACACAUGCAAGUCGAACGGAAAGGCCCUGCUUGCAGGGUACUCGAGUGGCGAACGGGUGAGUAACACGUGGGUGAUCUGCCCUGCACUUCGGGAUAAGCCUGGGAAACUGGGUCUAAUACCGGAUAGGAGCCAUUUUUAGUGUGAUGGUUGGAAAGUUUUUUCGGUGUAGGAUGAGCUCGCGGCCUAUCAGCUUGUUGGUGGGGUAAUGGCCUACCAAGGCGGCGACGGGUAGCCGGCCUGAGAGGGUGGACGGUCACAUUGGGACUGAGAUACGGCCCAGACUCCUACGGGAGGCAGCAGUGGGGAAUAUUGCACAAUGGGCGCAAGCCUGAUGCAGCGACGCCGCGUGGGGGAUGACGGCCUUCGGGUUGUAAACUCCUUUCGCUAGGGACGAAGCUUUUGUGACGGUACCUAGAUAAGAAGCACCGGCUAACUACGUG